AAAUCCACAAAGACAAAGAAAAUGAGAGAUGAGACAACAGCAAGAAAUUGGAGAAGAUGGAAUGCAAAUGGAAGAGGGGUAACUGAUUCAACAGAUGCAAAGAAGCUAAACCUUAAACCAACAGUGAGAAAGCAAAAUAUGAAAGUUAAAAAGCAGUUUUGUUUAUCCACACAACCUUCUGGACCCAGGAUUUGGUAGCACCAGUGACCUCUGGGAGUGGGGGUGACUGUGAGGUCAACUGAUACUACAUCAACCAGAGCCCCCACCCUUCCGAUGAGAACAUGGCCUAGAGAAAAAAUAAAAAUAUAAGGAAAAAAAGAAAAAAAACCCUAAAAACCAAAGCGCCUUCACCCUAAAUAACAUGAUCUAGAAGCUCAAAUGCUGAUGAGGAUAUGGAGCAAAAGAAAUUCUCAUUCAUUGAUGGAAGGAAUGCAAAAUGGUACAGCCACUGUGGAAGACAGUUUCUUACAAAACUAAACCUACUCUUAUAAUAGCAUCCAGCAAUUGUACUCCUUGGUAUUUACCUAAAUAAGUUGAAAACUUACAUCCUUACAGAAACCUGCAUACAGAUGUUUAUAGCAGCUUUAAUUAUGAUUGACAGAACUUUAAAGCAACCAAGCUGUACUUCAACAGGUGAAUGGAUAAAUUAACUCUGAUAUAUCCAAAAAAUGGAACAUUAUUCCAUGCUAAAGAGAAAUGAGUUACCAUGUUCUAAAAAGACAUGGAGGAAACUUAAAUAUCUAUUACUAAGUGAAAAAAACAACCUGUAAAGGCUCUAUACAUAUUGUACCAUAUGAUUCCAACUAUAUGACAUUCUGGAAAAGGAAGAACUAUGAAGACAGUAAAAAAUUAGCAAUUUCCAGGGUUUGAGAGGAGGAAGAGAUGAAUAGGUACAGAACAGAGGAUUUUUAGAGCAGUGAAACCAUUCUGUACAAUACUAUCAUGGUGGACACAUGUCCUUAUACAUUUGUAAAAACCCAUGAAAUGUACACCAAAGUGAACUCUAAUGUAAACUUUUGACUUUAGGUGAUAAUAAGGAGUCAGUGUAGGUUCACUGAUUUUCACAAAUAUACCACUCUGGUGUGGCAUGGCGAUAGAGGGGGAUGCUGUUCAUAUUUAGGGGUAAGGGGCAUAUGGAAACUCUCUGUACUUUCCACUCAAUUCCUCGGUAAACCUAAAACUGCUCUAAAAAAUAAAGUCU
RNAcentral lists this long non-coding RNA (1201 nucleotides) under Homo sapiens (human). RNAcentral describes it as "HSALNT0294786". Lineage: Eukaryota; Metazoa; Chordata; Mammalia; Primates; Hominidae. The record is from RNAcentral.